Long non-coding RNA from Podarcis raffonei (Aeolian wall lizard), 1520 nucleotides. RefSeq lists it as uncharacterized. The transcript has 2 exons. NCBI's taxonomy places the organism in Eukaryota, Metazoa, Chordata, Lepidosauria, Squamata, Lacertidae. The record is from RefSeq and is a predicted model, not a curated record.
UAGAAUGAGUUUAACUGUAGUAACCAAGGCAACCAGAAGAAAAAUAAUGAAGAAGUGAAGUAGUCUGGUUGCAGAAGCCCUAGCUCCUUCAAAACCCUCUACACUGCAGAGCUGCUUGUGAUGCUGAUUCCUGGCCACAAUUUUUUAUAGGGCUGAUUUAAUGCUGAAGCACUAAACUGCAAAUGAAGAGAAUUGUUCCUCAAAAUAAAGAUACCAGCUGGAAGCUACAGAAUUGAACUACAGCCUCUGUUUUGCACUGGACCACUAUGCUGAUCAAGCUAUAUCUCAUGUACUCUUCGGACUAGCAGAAACCUGUUCAGUGCUCAGCAUACAUCGAAAGGAGAUUGCAGGCAUUAAACAUUUGCUGCACCUAAGCCCUCCAUCUGUUUAAUACUAACUCAACCACCAAGAAGUGGAAAUUAUAUGUGAAGAAUUCACACAAACAAGUCCAUUGUUGCAAGUGCUUAGCAUAUUCAGUGAACCAUUGUAGGUUACUGCUAUGCACACAGACAGAAAUUACAUCAGGUUCAGUGAAGAAUCAUACUAACUUUGCCUACUUUUAUUAAGAGUAGUUGCUCUUUAGUACAUGUUUUAGUACAACUUAAUGUAAAUAUUUUUAGGCCAUUUGUAAAAAAAACAACACCAAAAACCUGAAGAAGACCAGCUGUCAUUGCAAUAAUUCACUCUUCCAUUUUGCUACACAGCUUUUCAGGUCCCAUGAUGGAAACAAGAAUGUUAUUCUUAUUUGUUAACUGAGUAAUUUAAUGUAAGCUAUCAACAAUCCAAAGAGGCCACAAGAACUUAGGGUUUAAAUAUCUCUUCUACCUCAAAUAAGAGCAUAGAAGUUCAGUACAGUCGCUGUUUUUCUGCUCUCACAACCCGCUUUUUGUGCAACCAUAAGAACUUCCUUUGUCCUUGACCUGACCUUAGAUUCACAUAAGCACAUGCAUGUUUGUUCAUCAAGGAAACCACCUUGAUUUUAACACAGGAAUUUAGACAUUUCUGGUUCUACUACUAUAACUCAAUUGAACAGGUGGCACCCCUGCCCCGUCAAACCUACAAGUUUUUAAUACUUGUGAAAUGUCUUUCUUUAACUUGAAGAGCUGACUCUAGAGAUGCAGAGCAGGUCUAUGAUUGUUCAGUCCUACUGAAGAUGAAUCUAACAUGAGGUUUGAAGGAGGAAAAGUCUGUCAGUGGACAGAGAACAGUCUGAGGCCAAUGAGCUAGAACUGUCUGCUCACUUUAAAGCUGAAAGUAUGACAUUUGGGAAACAAGAGUAAUCAAAGACAGCUCCUUCAGUACCCUGGACAGGUCCAAGGGAGCAAAUUACUUCUUCCCUGAGCGCUUGGUGCUAACACAGUUCUUACAUACUCCUCCUAGGUUACAUUCUUUUGCUGGACACAGGGAUGGACAGAUCACUGUAUUUGCAUUUCAUGCCAAUUUUGCAUGUGCUCAUUUGUAAGUCUUGUUUCUAUAUUAAUCUGCAAUUUUUAAAAUAAAAAAAAUUCCAUGGAACUCUG